This is a non-coding RNA of Microtus ochrogaster (prairie vole), 175 nucleotides long. Lineage: Eukaryota; Metazoa; Chordata; Mammalia; Rodentia; Cricetidae. The record is from Ensembl.
AUAGUCUAGGAAAGGCUCCUGUGUGGUUGAAUCUACCUCAUACCUGAUUUUUCAACCUUGACCUAUAAAGUAAAUUUCCGUGGGAUAAUUCCGUAGGCUUAGAAUUUGCAGUUACAGGUAUGAUGAUCCUGACAGCAAUUGAAUGAUUGUAUGUAUGAUGGUGCUGCAAAUAGGA